CCCAUCAUGAGUAGUUUAGACUGUGGCAACUGUUGGCUCAAGGGGCUGAAACUGGAUUAGGAGGGAUCUCCUUCCAGCAACCCUACCUUAUAUUUAUCCAGUGGAAAAGUGUGGGCAUAUUUUUCUCAGUAACUGGUGUCGCCCCCUCUAUGUGUUGGAGCCUUGCUUGGCCAGGCCCACAUGCCUACUCUAGAGCACCUUACCUCAGAGCCAGCGAGAUCUGAAUACUCCUUGCUCUUGGAGCCAUAAACAGUCCAACAUCAUCUAAAAUACCUUAAUGGAAUCAGGAAUCAAGGUGCUAUUAUCAGAAGGAUCUACGAAUACCAAAGCAAUACAUAUGUUGGUGAAAGCAUUCUAUUAGUAAAGGCAAUGGCCAGUCACAAGCUAAAAAUAAAAACAAGCAUAUACACAGUUUUACUCUAAACAUAUAAUUUUUCAAAGUGCAGCUAGAGAGAUAGAUCUUUAAAUGCACUGGCUGUUCUUCCAGAGGCACCAACAUAACAGUUCACAACCUUAUAAUUCCAGUCCCAGAGGAUGUGACCUUUCUUCUGGCCCCCUCAAGCACCAGACACUCACAUGGUGCACAGACAUAUGUGCAAGCAAAACUCCCAUAGACAUAGAAGAGAUAAAAUUUUAAAUUCAGUAAAUACAAGUUUGAAACUAAUUCUCAUGCUAUUUCUCCGAUGGGAAAGGGGCAGGUAGUAUGUGGGUAAGCAGAUAGAAGAAUGCAACAUGUCCAUACAAAUGGUACCAAAUAAUGUCACAUUAAAAUCUCAGACACCCAGAAUCCUUUGCUGUGUCCACAGCUAAGAGCAAUGAAUCUUAUAGACUAUGAGCUUUGUCAGACUCGUAGUUCCGCGAAGGCAAGGAAAGAACGUGUCUAAUUUACCAUUUGACCAGCACCUCAGUAACGAAGUUAGUGAUGAAGGCUUUGUCUCUGGCAGCGUUUCCCUUGACAUCUUAAAUGCAGCAAUGCCCUGACCUCAAAGGAAAGACUCAGCCCACAAGAUGUACUGCACAAGUGAUGCUAAGCAGGGAGAGCAUGCUAAAGUAGUUCAAAUACGUGUGCUUCAAAGCCGCCAUGGGUUUUGAUCAAGUUACAAGGUAUAAAUGAAAACAUUAUAGAAAAAUUGUUGUGAUUUGGUUGAGGAUCAGUUUUACAUAUAGGUCCUAUCUCCAAAUUGAUUUAAACUGAUCCCCGUCAGCGCCAUCUGAGGUCUACAGACUGUUCUGCUACCCAGUAGGAAGAGAGAAGACAAAAUAAGACAGGUUAUUUUCUAGCAGGUAUUUACUACAUGGAGAAGUAUAGGCUGGUGGAAAGCAGCAAUAGUGCUCAAAGCAGAAACUCUACGCACAGUAGACGGAUCUCUAGCAAGCUUGUUUCUCUGAUACAGUUCCGGCCGUCACACAGCGAGCCAGGGAGGCUACCACUCUGACAGCAGCACAAACUUCCCGGCUUUUCUUCCUCCCUCUAUCCUAUAACUGCUCCUCGUGAGUCCAAGUGGAUAUGGCAUCCGAGUGGCCCUGCCUGGGCAAUGGACAGUCUAUUUUCUUCUAUGAGUCAGCUGAGACAAACUUGCAAGCCUUAAAACUGAGAUAUGUACUAAUCAGAUAAAUAAAACUUGUAUUUUGAAAUCAGAA
This 1641-nucleotide long non-coding RNA is filed under the name Rattus norvegicus (Norway rat). RNAcentral describes it as "long non-coding RNA NONRATT020200". Lineage: Eukaryota; Metazoa; Chordata; Mammalia; Rodentia; Muridae. The record is from RNAcentral.